UACGGAGGGGGCGAGCGUUAUUCGGAAUUAUUGGGCGUAAAGGGCGCGUAGGCGGCUGUACAAGUCAAAGGUGAAAUCCCUCGGCUCAACUGAGGAACUGCCUUUGAAACUGUACGGCUUGAGGCCGGGAGGGGGUAGCGGAAUUCCCAGUGUAGCGGUGAAAUGCGUAGAUACUGGGAGGAACACCAGUGGCGAAGGCGGCUACCCGGACCGGUUCUGACGCUGAGGCGCGAAAGCGUGGGUAGCAAACAGG
RNAcentral lists this ribosomal RNA (253 nucleotides) under uncultured bacterium. Its description in RNAcentral is "partial 16S ribosomal RNA". It matches the Rfam family "Bacterial small subunit ribosomal RNA", at positions 524 to 776 of the family's 1533-position model. The record is from RNAcentral.